This 711-nucleotide ribosomal RNA is filed under the name Brotogeris chiriri. RNAcentral's name for it is "partial 16S ribosomal RNA". The stretch from base 404 to 657 matches the Rfam family "Archaeal large subunit ribosomal RNA", at positions 1787 to 2143 of the family's 2987-position model. Lineage: Eukaryota; Metazoa; Chordata; Aves; Psittaciformes; Psittacidae. The record is from RNAcentral.
GUUCCCCCUUAGUCCCUUCCUCCCGGAUAAAAGCCUAGCCCCCAUGUAACAGACUAAGAGCUAUUUAAAGGGGGUACAGCCCCUUUAAAAAGGGAUACAGCCCCUACUAGAGGAUAACCCCACCCUUACCCCCCCCCCCGUGGGCCUUAAAGCAGCCACCCCCAAAGAAUGCGUCAAAGCUCCACAACCAAAAAUACCAGAAACUACGCGACUCCCUAUACCCACAACAGGCCAACCUAUAUACAAUAGAUGAACUAAUGCUAGAACGAGUAACCAGGAUAACACUCCCCCUAAGCGCCAGCCUACAUAAAAUUAACAGCACAACUACAAUACUAAGCAAGAACAACCCCCGACCAAAUAUUGAACCCACCCUGUCAACCCAACUCAGGAGCGCACACUAGGACGAUUAAAAUCUGCAAAAGGAACUCGGCAAACCCAAGGCCCGACUGUUUACCAAAAACAUAGCCUUCAGCCAAACAAGUAUUGAAGGUGACGCCUGCCCAGUGACACCACGUUUAACGGCCGCGGUAUCCUAACCGUGCAAAGGUAGCGCAAUCAAUUGUCUCAUAAAUAGAGACCUGUAUGAAUGGCUAAACGAGGUCUUAACUGUCUCCUGCAGAUAAUCAGUGAAACUGAUCUCCCUGUACAAAAGCAGGGAUAAGCACACAAGACGAGAAGACCCUGUGGAACUUCAAAAUCAAUAGCCACCGC